AAGCGAAACCACCCCGCUAUCUGGCGGGAUGGUCUACCCGAUGUGGUGAUCGGGUACUGAUGAGCAGCCGACC
Molecule: non-coding RNA, 73 nt
Filed under: Aeromonas veronii
Lineage: Bacteria; Pseudomonadati; Pseudomonadota; Gammaproteobacteria; Aeromonadales; Aeromonadaceae
Source: RNAcentral